This 460-nucleotide ribosomal RNA is filed under the name uncultured bacterium. RNAcentral's name for it is "partial 16S ribosomal RNA". It matches the Rfam family "Bacterial small subunit ribosomal RNA", at positions 338 to 795 of the family's 1533-position model. The record is from RNAcentral.
CCUACGGGGCGCAGCAGUGAGGAAUAUUGGUCAAUGGGCGAGAGCCUGCACCAGCCAAGUCGCGUGAAGGAUGACGGCCCUAUGGGUUGUAAACUUCUUUUGUCUGGGCGCAAUUGGGUCCAUGCGUGCGCUUCUCGAGAGUACCUGAAGAAAAGGCAUCGGCUAACUCCGUGCCAGCAGCCGCGGUAUUACGGAGGAUGCGAGCGUUUUCGGGAUUUAUUGGUUUUAAAGGGUGCGUAGGCGGAAUAUCAAGUCAGCGGUAAAAAUUCGGGGGUAAACCCCGUCGGGCAGUUGAUACUGAUGUUCUUGAGUGGGCGAGAAGUAUGCGGAAUGCGUGGUGUAGCGGUGAAAUGCAUAGAUAUCACGCAGAACUCCGAUUGCGAAGGCAGCAUACCGGCGCCCAACUGACGCUGAAGCACGAAAGCGUGGGUAUCGAACAGGAUGAGAUACCCGAGUAGUC